This is a long non-coding RNA of Oncorhynchus keta (chum salmon), 5548 nucleotides long. RefSeq lists it as uncharacterized. The record is from RefSeq and is a predicted model, not a curated record. The transcript is spliced from 4 exons. NCBI's taxonomy places the organism in Eukaryota, Metazoa, Chordata, Actinopteri, Salmoniformes, Salmonidae.
GGUUGACUGGCUGACUGGCUGGCUGGUUGACUGGCUGGCUGGUUGACUGGCUGGCUGGUUGACUGGCUGGCUGGUUGACUGGCUGGCUGGCUGACUCACUGGCUGGUUGACUCACUGGCUGGUUGACUCACUGGCUGGCUGACUCACUGGCUGGCUGACUCGCUGGCUGGCUGACUGACUGGACUGACUGGCUGGCUGACUGGCUGGCUGACUUCAGGGCUACUACUCCAGACUGACCUAAUGUUUAUGCCAGCUUUUUUCACAGCUAGCCUGAAAUCCACUUCUGUCUCUGAGUGGGCAAGCUCGUUUUACGGAAGAGUAGAGAGAAAGACAGGACAACAGAGGAGGAGAGGUGUUUUAUCCAUGUCUGCUAAUAUGGAAGAUAAAAUCAUGUGAUGGUUGAGGGUAGACUGGGUGGUGAUACAGGUGGAGGAAUAAGGUAGACUGGGUAGUGAUACAGGUGUAGGAAUAAGGUAGACUGGGUAGUGAUACAGGUGGAGGAAUAAGGUAGACUGGGUGGUGAUACAGGUGGAGGAAUAAGGUAGACUGGGUAGUGAUACAGGUGGAGGAAUAAGGUAGACUGGGUGGUGAUACAGGUGGAGGAAUAAGGUAGACUGGGUAGUGAUACAGGUGGAGGAAUAAGGUAGACUGGGUAGUGAUACAGGUGUAGGAAUAAGGUAGACUGGGUGGUGGUAUAAGGUAGACUGGAUGGUGAUACAUGUGGAGGAAUAAGGUAGACUGGGUAGUGAUACAGGUGUAGGAAUAAGGUAGAUUGGGUGGUGGUACAGGUGGAGGAAUAAGGUAGACUGGAAUAAGGUAGACUGGGUGGUGAUACAGGUGGAGGAAUAAGGUAGACUGGGUGGUGGUACAGGUGGAGGAAUAAGGUAGACUGGAAUAAGGUAGACUGGGUGGUGAUACAGGUGGAGGAAUAAGGUAGACUGGGUAGUGAUACAGGUGGAGGAAUAAGGUAGACUGGGUAGUGAUACAGGUGGAGGAAUAAGGUAGACUGGGUGGUGAUACAGGUGGAGGAAUAAGGUAGACUGGGUGGUGAUACAGGUGGAGGAAUAAGGUAGACUGGGUAGUGAUACAGGUGGAGGAAUAAGGUAGACUGGGUAGUGAUACAGGUGUAGGAAUAAGGUAGACUGGGUGGUGGUACAGGUGGAGGAGUAAGGUAAACUGGAAUAAGGUAGACUGGGUAGUGAUACAGGUGGAGGAAUAAGGUAAACUGGAAUAAGGUAGACUGGGUAGUGAUACAGGUGGAGGAAUAAGGUAGACUGGGUGGUGGUACAGGUGGAGGAAUAAGGUAGACUGGAAUAAGGUAGACUGGGUGGUGAUACAGGUGGAGGAAUAAGGUAGACUGGGUGGUGAUACAGGUGGAGGAAUAAGGUAGACUGGGUAGUGAUACAGGUGGAGGAAUAAGGUAGACUGGAAUAAGGUAGACUGGGUGGUGGUACAGGUGGAGGAAUAAGGUAGACUGGAAUAAGGUAGACUGGGUGGUGGUACAGGUGGAGGAAUAAGGUAGACUGGGUGGUGAUACAGGUGGAGGAAUAAGGUAGACUGGGUAGUGAUACAGGUGGAGGAAUAAGGUAGACUGGGUAGUGAUACAGGUGUAGGAAUAAGGUAGACUGGGUAGUGGUACAGGUGGAGGAAUAAGGUAGACUGGAAUAAGGUAGACUGGGUAGUGAUACAGGUGGAGGAAUAAGGUAGACUGGAAUAAGGUAGACUGGGUGGUGAUACAGGUGGAGGAAUAAGGUAGACUGGGUAGUGAUACAGGUGGAGGAAUAAGGUAGACUGGGUAGUGAUACAGGUGGAGGAAUAAGGUAGACUGGGUAGUGAUACAGGUGGAGGAAUAAGGUAGACUGGGUGGUGAUACAGGUAGAGGAAUAAGGUAGACUGGGUGGUGAUACAGGUGGAGGAAUAAGGUAGACUGGGUGGUGAUACAGGUGGAGGAAUAAGGUAGACUGGGUGGUGAUACAGGUAGAGGAAUAAGGUAGACUGGGUAGUGAUACAGGUGGAGGAAUAAGGUAGACUGGGUGGUGGUACAGGUGGAGGAAUAAGGUAGACUGGGUGGUGAUACAGGUGGAGGAAUAAGGUAGACUGGCUAUAGGGAGGGAGAAAGCUCUCCUACUGGUUUAAGGGUUUUAUUCAUAUAGAAGAGACAUUGGCAGUCUGGAUGGGAAGUCUUGAUUAAAUCUCAUGUCCGGAGUGUUUUUGGUCAGUGGUAACAUUUAGAUGGACCAAGGCCCAUGGAAAGUUCCAGUUAAAUGUAUGAGGACAGAGGAGAGGACGAGGUGUAUGGCCGGUGUAUCAGAGGGGUGAUGAUGUAGCAGUGUUCUAUACUAGCCUUCACAUGGGGGACAGAUUCUCCAGAAGGCCACACGACUGUCCAUCCAGGAAGCUCCUAUGGAUCCGACUCAAAACGAACCCCGUCUCAGGUGGCAUCAUAUUCACCAUGUACUGCGUUACUAGAUAGGGUUCCAUUUGAGACACAGACUUCUAUGUCUGUGGUGAACAGCCAGCCAGUCAUUCAGCCAGUCAGUCAGCCAGUCAUUCAGCCAGCCAGUCAGUCAGUCAGCCAGUCAGUCGCAUCACACCACAGCGUAAAGGAUUGUCAAGCUUCAGUUAUAAUAUAAACCGGUCAAAGAAAAGGUCAAACUGACCUAAGAGGGACCAGUCAAUAAGUCAUUUUUAUUUUUUCCAUGAUUCUAUAAAAAAAAAAAAUGAAUAUUACUUUUAAGAUGUUGAUGAAUAUUGUUCUGUAGUUUUAGAACUUUCCAUGUUGAGCCCUGUGGGGUAAGAUCCUGUGUUUGGGGAGGCCAGCGGGGUUGGGGUGAGCAGAGGGAAGGAAGAGUCAACUAAUUUAACCCCUUUGUCUUCUUAAACAACACAUAUUUUAACUGUCAGGAUUGGAUUUGCAAUAUAAGUAAAUAUUCCAGAAAGAAUCGGGCCUCAGAGUUGAGCUGGCCCAUCAUCAGUAGGAGGACAACAGGGGUCGUUUGGUAUAAAAGCGAGCGAUAAGAGGUUGACUCUCUUUUCAUUCUGUUAUAGAUCUACAUCACUUCAUAAUUAAAAGGCUAUGGUGAUUUAAGCCCGAGUUCAUGAUCUGUGCUGUCUUCAACUCGUAGGUCAUUAUCACCAGUUGGACAAGCCAAUGGCGAUGCAUUCAGGUCCUUUCAAACACCUCUCCACUGGAACCAUGCAAAUGAGCAUUUUUCUACCUAUGUUGCCUUUUUGAAAAAGCUGCUUCUGUCUGUUUGCACCUCAUCCUGUCUCUGCAAUAGAUACAGGACUGUGUCCCAUUCCCUGUGUAGUGCACUACUAUGGGCCCUGGUCACUAUAUAGGGAAUAGGGUGCCAUCUGGGACGCAACCAAAGAAAUUUAGAGAAAAGCAGAAUGUCUAAGUGUUAUCGCUACAGAUCCUAUCUAACCAUCCCGUUUAACAAGUCAAGAUGCUAACCAUCCCGUCAUUGUGUUUAGCAAGUCAAGAUGCUAACCAUCCCGUCAUCAUUGUGUUUAACAAGUCAAGAUGCUAACCAUCCCGUCAUCAUUGUGUUUAGCAAGUCAAGAUGCUAACCAUCCCGUCAUCAUUGUGUUUAACAAGUCAAGAUGCUAACCAUCCCGUCAUUGUGUUUAACAAGUCAAGAUGCUAACCAUCCCGUUUAACAAGUCAAGAUGCUAACCAUCCCGUUUAACAAGUCAAGAUGCUAACCAUCCCGUUUAACAAGUCAAGAUGCUAACCAUCCCGUCAUUGUGUUUAGCAAGUCAAGAUGCUAACCAUCCCGUUUAACAAGUCAAGAUGCUAACCAUCCCGUUUAACAAGUCAAGAUGCUAACCAUCCCGUCAUUGUUUAGCAAGUCAAGAUGUUAACCAUCCCGUCAUUGUGUUUAGCAAGUCAAGAGAUGUUAACCAUCCCGUCAUCAUUGUUUAGCAAGUCAAGAUGUUAACCAUCCAGUCAUCAUUGUGUUUAGCAAGUCAAGAUGUUAACCAUCCAGUCAUCAUUGUGUUUAGCAAGUCAAGAUGUUAACCAUCCCGUCAUCAUUGUGUUUAGCAAGUCAAGAUGCUAACCAUCCCGUCAUCAUUGUGUUUAGCAAGUCAAGAUGCUAACCAUCCCGUCAUCAUUGUGUUUAGCAAGUCAAGAUAUGCUAACCAUCCCGUCAUUGUGUUUAGCAAGUCAAGAUGCUAACCAUCCCAUCAUCAUUGUGUUUAACAAGUCCAGAGAUGUUAACCAUCCCGUCAUCAUUGUGUUUAGCAAGUCAAGAUGCUAACCAUCCCGUCAUUGUGUUUAGCAAGUCAAGAUGCUAACCAUCCCGUCAUCAUUGUGUUUAGCAAGUCAAGAUGUUAACCAUCCCGUCAUUGUGUUUAACAAGUCCAGAGAUGCUAAUGGACACACCAAUCUGGUAACCACCGAGCCUACCAAAGACAGAACAGGCUACUGUGGUUGAACCCUCACUCCUGAGGACCCCUGAUGAGGGGUGUAGUGUUGCUCUGCAGAGCAGACCGAGUCGGUGUCCAAUAGAGCCCUACUCCCUAUAUAGUGUAGCAUUUAAGACAAACCUUCUGCCAAGCGGUCCAUGAUCUGAUUUAAUGAGUAACAUUCACCUAUAGCUUAGUGUUUAUUUGAAGGAUUUGAGGGGGGAAACGCUUCAGCUGUACAGUUCCCUUCCACUUCUUCACUGUAACAAAGGUCUUGUCUUGGGUACAGUUAACACUGUGACAACAGUCUUGGGUGCAGUUAACACUGUGACAACAGUCUUGGGUGCAGUCAAGUGGUUCAACGUCAAAGGCUAUGGUUUCAUCAAGAAUGAGACUUCUUCGGGGGGGGUUUGGCGUGUUAGUACAUUUUCAAACGAAACGAUUCAUCUUUGAACACGGAAAGCGUUAGGGUUGAGGCUACGUUCAUGUACCUGUGAUUCUCAGAGUGCAUGAGUGUGUGCUCUAAACCAGGGAUAUUCAACUCUUACCCUACGAGGUCUGUAGCCUGCUGGUUUCCUGUUCUAUCUGAUAAUUAAUUGCACCCACCUGGUGUCCCAGGUCUAAACCAGUUCCUGAUUAGAGGGGAACUGGUUUAGGGGGCUGGCUUGUCAGUCCAGAGUUAAAUUCUCUAAACCUAAAGGUUGACCCUAAACUGUUCAUUUUUCUACUGUUGUGGUGCUGUGCAACUAUCAGUCUGGAUUGAUAAUAUGAUACUUUAAAGACUAGUGCCAGGCCUCAUGUAGAGAGGAGUUUAUGCUAUUUCUAGUGCUAGAGGCGUCACUACAGACCUUGGUUCAGAGGUCUAAGAAACUGCAUCUCAGUGCUAGAGGCGUCACUACAGACCCUGGUUCAGAGGUCUAAGACAUCUCAGUGCUAGAGGCGUCACUUCAGACCCUGGUUCAAUUCCAGGCUGUAUCACAACUGCCCGUGAUUAGGAGUUCCAUAGGGUGGCGCACAAUUGGCCCAGCGUCGUCCAGGUUAGGGUUUGGCCAGGGUGGGCUGUCAUUGUAAAUAAGAAUUUGUUCAUAACUGACUUGCCUAAUUAAAUAAAAACUGUACACUUAUGUUACAAUUA